This 327-nucleotide ribosomal RNA is filed under the name uncultured eukaryote. Its description in RNAcentral is "partial 18S ribosomal RNA". It matches the Rfam family "Eukaryotic small subunit ribosomal RNA", at positions 1470 to 1796 of the family's 1831-position model. The record is from RNAcentral.
CCCUUAGAUGUUCUGGGCCGCACGCGCGCUACACUGAUUCAUGCAACAAGUUUUGUCCUUGGCUGAUAGGCCUGGGUAAUCUUUGAACGUGAAUCGUGAUGGGGAUAGAUGAUUGCAAUUAUUCAUCUUCAACGAGGAAUUCCUAGUAAACGCAAGUCAUCAGCUUGCAUUGAUUACGUCCCUGCCCUUUGUACACACCGCCCGUCGCACCUACCGAUUGAAUGGUCCGGUGAAAUCUUCGGAUCUGAGAGAUGUCUGAUUAAUUUCGGACGCCUUUUGGAAAAGUUGCUUAAACCUUACCAUUUAGAGGAAGGUGAAGUCGUNACA